This 229-nucleotide long non-coding RNA is filed under the name Ananas comosus (pineapple). RNAcentral describes it as "long non-coding RNA (ACOM_LNC012190)". The record is from RNAcentral. Lineage: Eukaryota; Viridiplantae; Streptophyta; Magnoliopsida; Poales; Bromeliaceae.
CGAAGCAAUCCUUGUACUCCUUCAACAGCUUCUUCAAUUCUUCCUGUUGCUGAGCCGACAACUUGGAACUUAUAAACGUCAGCCUGUUAUCUUCAUGGGACCCCAGAUUUACCUCUAUCAACAAAUCCUGGAUCUCCAGCUUUUUCUCGUCGACUUUAAUAGGCGAUUCUUCUAGCUUCAUUUUCGCCGUUUACCUAUUCAUCUCAUAUGAUUUAUUAGUCUCCAUGAC